AGAGUUUGAUCCUGGCUCAGAACGAACGCUGGCGGCGUGGAUAAGACAUGCAAGUCGAACGGGUUUAGUUUUGUAGCAAUACAGAGCUGAGCUAGUGGCGAACGGGUGCGUAACACGUGAGCAAUCUGCCUUAAAGUGGGGGAUAGCUCGCCGAAAGGCGAAUUAAUACCGCAUGUGGUUGCAAAACCAAAGCCGGGGCA
This 200-nucleotide ribosomal RNA is filed under the name uncultured bacterium. RNAcentral's name for it is "partial 16S ribosomal RNA". It matches the Rfam family "Bacterial small subunit ribosomal RNA", at positions 8 to 213 of the family's 1533-position model. The record is from RNAcentral.